UACGUAGGGUGCGAGCGUUGUCCGGAAUUACUGGGCGUAAAGAGCUCGUAGGUGGUUUGUCGCGUUGUCCGUGAAAACUCACAGCUCAACUGUGGGCGUGCGGGCGAUACGGGCAGACUGGAGUACUGUAGGGGAGACUGGAAUUCCUGGUGUAGCGGUGGAAUGCGCAGAUAUCAGGAGGAACACCGGUGGCGAAGGCGGGUCUCUGGGCAGUAACUGACGCUGAGGAGCGAAAGCGUGGGGAGCGAACAGG
This 253-nucleotide ribosomal RNA is filed under the name uncultured bacterium. RNAcentral's name for it is "partial 16S ribosomal RNA". It matches the Rfam family "Bacterial small subunit ribosomal RNA", at positions 524 to 776 of the family's 1533-position model. The record is from RNAcentral.